This 460-nucleotide ribosomal RNA is filed under the name uncultured bacterium. RNAcentral's name for it is "partial 16S ribosomal RNA". It matches the Rfam family "Bacterial small subunit ribosomal RNA", at positions 338 to 795 of the family's 1533-position model. The record is from RNAcentral.
CCUACGGGUGGCAGCAGUGAGGAAUAUUGGUCAAUGGACGAGAGUCUGAACCAGCCAAGUAGCGUGAAGGAUGACUGCCCUAUGGGUUGUAAACUUCUUUUAUAUGGGAAUAAAACGUUCCACGUGUGGGAUUUUGUAUGUACCAUAUGAAUAAGGAUCGGCUAACUCCGUGCCAGCAGCCGCGGUAAUACGGAGGGUCCGAGCGUUAUCCGGAUUUAUUGGGGUUAAAGGGAGCGUAGGUGGAUUGUUAAGUCAGUUGUGAAAGUUUGCGGCUCAACCGUAAAAUUGCAGUUGAAACUGGCAGUCUUGAGUACAGUAGAGGUGGGCGGAAUUCGUGGUGUAGCGGUGAAAUGCUUAGAUAUCACGAAGAACUCCGAUUGCGAAGGCAGUUCACUGGACUGCAACUGACACUGAGGCUCGAAAGUGUGGGUAUCAAACAGGAUUAGAUACCCGAGUAGUC